AAGCUUUCCAAAAUUUUACACAAAAAUCAAUAGAAGAAGUUAUAUCUUCAUCAUUGUUGAUGUCUAUUUAUUCUGGUCAACUCUAUAGUUACAGACACAAUAUAUAUAAAGCUAGUGGAAAAGAAAAAAGAAACCUUAAAGACGAAGACCUAAUGUAUCUUUUACAGGAAGAAAAAAAAAAUUAUUUUUUUUUGUGCUCUUUCAAAAUCAUUUAAUAAUCAUACGUCUAAUGAUUAUACUUUUAAAGUAUUGCUUCCUGAAGCAAUACUGUAUCUUUUUGCAAAGGUGCAAAGAAUUUCAAGAAUCAAAGCUGAAGUAUUGUUAAGUUCAUAUUCUUUGCAAAGGAAUAAUGAACUGUUAAAUAAAAUCUCAGAUGAAGAUAAUGAUUUUAUUUUGG
Hydra vulgaris (swiftwater hydra) is the source of this 397-nucleotide non-coding RNA. The record is from RefSeq and is a predicted model, not a curated record. NCBI's taxonomy places the organism in Eukaryota, Metazoa, Cnidaria, Hydrozoa, Anthoathecata, Hydridae.